This 397-nucleotide ribosomal RNA is filed under the name uncultured bacterium. Its description in RNAcentral is "bacterial SSU rRNA". It matches the Rfam family "Bacterial small subunit ribosomal RNA", at positions 29 to 426 of the family's 1533-position model. The record is from RNAcentral.
AUUGAACGCUGGCGGAAUGCUUUACACAUGCAAGUCGAACGGCAGCACGGGGCAACCUGGUGGCGAGUGGCGAACGGGUGAGUAAUACAUCGGAACGUGCCCAAUCGUGGGGGGAUAACGUAGCGAAAGUUACGCUAAUACCGCAUACGAUCUACGGAUGAAAGCGGGGGAUCGCAAGACCUCGCGCGAAUGGAGCGGCCGAUGUCAGAUUAGGUAGUUGGUGGGGGUAAAGGCUCACCAAGCCGACGAUCUGUAGCUGGUCUGAGAGGACGACCAGCCACACUGGGACUGAGACACGGCCCAGACUCCUACGGGAGGCGAGCAGUGGGGAAUUUUGGACAAUGGGCGCAAGCCUGAUCCAGCCAUUCCGCGUGCAGGAUGAAGGCCUUCGGGUUGU